RNAcentral lists this ribosomal RNA (778 nucleotides) under uncultured Neocallimastigales. RNAcentral's name for it is "partial large subunit ribosomal RNA". It matches the Rfam family "Eukaryotic large subunit ribosomal RNA", at positions 24 to 616 of the family's 3401-position model. The record is from RNAcentral. Lineage: Eukaryota; Fungi; Neocallimastigomycota; Neocallimastigomycetes; Neocallimastigales.
UUACGACUACAUAUCAGGCAUAUCAAUAAGCGGAGGAAAAGAAACUAACUAGGAUUCCCUCAGUAACGGCGAGUGAAGCGGGAAGAGCUCAAAUUUGAAAUCUUCAAGGUUCUACCUUGACGAAUUGUAGUUUAAAGAAGUGUUUUCUGUUGGAGUUUUGGUAAAAGUUCUUUGGAAUAGGACAUCAUAGAGGGUGAGAAUCCCGUAUUUGACCAUUAUUUCCAGCUUUGUGAUACACUUUCAAAGAGUCGGAUUGUUUGGGAAUGCAGUCCAAAAUGGGUGGUAAAUUUCAUCUAAAGCUAAAUAUUGGCGAGAGACCGAUAGCGAACAAGUACCGUGAGGGAAAGAUGAAAAGAACUUUGAAAAGAGAGUUAAACAGUACGUGAAAUUGUCAAAAGGGAAGCGUUUGACACCAGUGUUGUUUUCUCGAAAAUCAAUUAAAAAGAGCUGGAUUUUGUGUUGUAUUGACCUUAAUCAGCUUGCUUCACUCUUUUCAUGUCUUAUUUAAUGCACUUUUCGUUUAACAAGUCAACAUCAGUUUCUUUUGUUGUAAAAGGGUCAUUGGAAGGUGGCUUUCUCUUCGGAGAAAGUGUUUAUAGCCUUUGCUCUCUGCAAUCGGAGAGAUUGAGGUCUGCAGCGUAGAUCCUUCGGGGUUAGAUACAUUUGUGCUAAGUUAUAGCCUUUUCAUAGACAACUUGUUGACUAUGAUUCAGUCAUGUGACUUACUCGCUUAUGCUAUUUUACCUACGCUUAGGAUGUUGAGCGCAUGUCUCUCUCU